RNAcentral lists this ribosomal RNA (513 nucleotides) under uncultured marine alveolate. RNAcentral describes it as "SSU rRNA". It matches the Rfam family "Eukaryotic small subunit ribosomal RNA", at positions 30 to 548 of the family's 1831-position model. The record is from RNAcentral.
GCUUGUCUCAAGAUUAGACAUGCAUGUCUCAGUAUAAGUCUUUACAUGGCGAAACUGCGAAUGGCUCAUUAAAACAGUUAUAGUCUAUUUGAUGGUCAACAGUUAUAUGGAUAACUGCGGUAAUUCUGGAGCUAAUACAUGCGAAAAAACCCGACUUCUCGGAAGGGUCGUGCUUAUUAGAUACAGAACCAAUGCUCUUCGGAGUUUUUGGAUGAUUCAUAAUAAACGAAUGGAGCGCAUUGCUUGUGCUGGCGCUAUAUCAUUCGAGUUUCUGACCUAUCAGCUUUCGACGGUAGGGUAUUGGCCUACCGUGGCAUUGACGGGUAACGGAGAAUUAGGGUUCGAUUCCGGAGAGGGAGCCCGAGAAACGGCUACCACAUCUAAGGAAGGCAGCAGUCGCGCAAAUUACCCAAUCCUGACACAGGGAGGUAGUGACAAGAAAUAACAAAGCAGGCGCUUACCGCGUUCUGCUAUUGGAAUGAGUAGAAUUUAAAUCACUUUUCGACUAUCCAU